Molecule: transfer RNA, 72 nt
Filed under: Microcaldota archaeon
Lineage: Archaea; Nanobdellati; Microcaldota
Description: tRNA-Thr
Rfam family: tRNA
About the family: Transfer RNA (tRNA) molecules are approximately 80 nucleotides in length. Their secondary structure includes four short double-helical elements and three loops (D, anti-codon, and T loops).
Source: RNAcentral
GCCUCGGUGGCUCAGUGGUAGAGCGUUCCCUUGGUAAGGGAAAGGUCGCGAGUUCAAUUCUCGUCCGAGGCU